AGUGAACGCUGGCGGUAGGCCUAACACAUGCAAGUCGAACGGCAGCACAGGAGAGCUUGCUCUCUGGGUGGCGAGUGGCGGACGGGUGAGGAAUACAUCGGAAUCUACUCUGUCGUGGGGGAUAACGUAGGGAAACUUACGCUAAUACCGCAUACGACCUACGGGUGAGAGCAGGGGACCUUCGGGCCUUGCGCGAUUGAAUGAGCCGAUGUCGGAUUAGCUAGUUGGCGGGGUAAAGGCCCACCAAGGCGACGAUCCGUAGCUGGGCUGGGAUGAUGAGCAGCCACACUUGAACGUAGACACGGUCCAGACUCCUACGGGAGGCAGCAGUGGGGAAUAUUGGGCAAUGGGCGCAAGCCUGAUCCAGCCAUACCGCGUGGGUGAAUAAAGCCUUCGGGUUGCAAAGCCCUUUUGUUGGGAAAGAAAUCCAGCUGGCUAAUACCCGGUUGGGAUGACGGUACCCAAAGAAUAAGCACCGGCUAACUUCGUGCCAGCAGCAGCCGCAG
Molecule: ribosomal RNA, 506 nt
Filed under: uncultured bacterium
Lineage: Bacteria
Description: partial 16S ribosomal RNA
Rfam family: Bacterial small subunit ribosomal RNA
Source: RNAcentral